RNAcentral lists this ribosomal RNA (483 nucleotides) under uncultured bacterium. Its description in RNAcentral is "partial 16S ribosomal RNA". It matches the Rfam family "Bacterial small subunit ribosomal RNA", at positions 30 to 506 of the family's 1533-position model. The record is from RNAcentral.
AUUGAACGCUGGCGGCAGGCCUAACACAUGCAAGUCGAGCGGAUGAAGGGAGCUUGCUCCUGGAUUCAGCGGCGGACGGGUGAGUAAUGCCUAGGAAUCUGCCUGGUAGUGGGGGAUAACGUCCGGAAACGGGCGCUAAUACCGCAUACGUCCUGAGGGAGAAAGUGGGGGAUCUUCGGACCUCACGCUAUCAGAUGAGCCUAGGUCGGAUUAGCUAGUUGGUGGGGUAAAGGCCUACCAAGGCGACGAUCUGUAACUGGUCUGAGAGGAUGAUCAGUCACACUGGAACUGAGACACGGUCCAGACUCCUACGGGAGGCAGCAGUGGGGAAUAUUGGACAAUGGGCGAAAGCCUGAUCCAGCCAUGCCGCGUGUGUGAAGAAGGUCUUCGGAUUGUAAAGCACUUUAAGUUGGGAGGAAGGGCAGUAAGUUAAUACCUUGCUGUUUUGACGUUACCAACAGAAUAAGCACCGGCUAACUUCGU